RNAcentral lists this transfer RNA (74 nucleotides) under Bacillota bacterium. RNAcentral's name for it is "tRNA-Gly". It matches the Rfam family "tRNA". Rfam says of the family: Transfer RNA (tRNA) molecules are approximately 80 nucleotides in length. RNAcentral also lists the same sequence under 3 other names. The record is from RNAcentral. Lineage: Bacteria; Bacillati; Bacillota.
GCGGGUGUAACUCAAUGGCAGAGUGCCAGCUUCCCAAGCUGGUUACGUGGGUUCGAUUCCCAUCACCCGCUCCA